UACAGAGGGUGCGAGCGUUAAUCGGAUUUACUGGGCGUAAAGCGUGCGUAGGCGGCCAUUUAAGUCAGAUGUGAAAUCCCCGAGCUCAACUUGGGAAUUGCAUUCGAUACUGGGUGGCUAGAGUAUAGGAGAGGAAGGUAGAAUUCCAGGUGUAGCGGUGAAAUGCGUAGAGAUCUGGAGGAAUACCGAUGGCGAAGGCAGCCUUCUGGCCUAAUACUGACGCUGAGGUACGAAAGCAUGGGGAGCAAAC
This 250-nucleotide ribosomal RNA is filed under the name uncultured bacterium. Its description in RNAcentral is "partial 16S ribosomal RNA". It matches the Rfam family "Bacterial small subunit ribosomal RNA", at positions 524 to 773 of the family's 1533-position model. The record is from RNAcentral.